RNAcentral lists this ribosomal RNA (306 nucleotides) under uncultured bacterium. RNAcentral's name for it is "partial 16S ribosomal RNA". It matches the Rfam family "Bacterial small subunit ribosomal RNA", at positions 507 to 808 of the family's 1533-position model. The record is from RNAcentral.
GACAGCAGUAGCCGCGGUAAUACGUAGGUGGCAAGCGUUGUCCGGAAUUAUUGGGCGUAAAGCGCGCGCAGGCGGAUAGGUCAGUCUGUCUUAAAAGUUCGGGGCUUAACCCCGUGAUGAGAUGGAAACUGCCAAUCUAGAGUAUCGGAGAGGAAAGUGGAAUUCCUAGUGUAGCGGUGAAAUGCGUAGAUAUUAGGAAGAACACCAGUGGCGAAGGCGACUUUCUGGACGAAAACUGACGCUGAGGCGCGAAAGCCAGGGGAGCGAACGGGAUUAGAUACCCCAGUAGUCCCUGUCUCUUAUACC